GAUGAAGAACGCAGUGAAAUGCGAUAAGUAAUGCGAAUUGCAGAAUUCAGUGAAUCAUCGAAUCUUUGAACGCACAUUGCGCCCGCCAGUAUUCUGGCGGGCAUGCCUGUCUGAGCGUCAUUUCAACCCUCAUGCCCCUAGGGCGUGGUGUUGGGGAUCGGCCAAAGCCCGCGAGGGACGGCCGGCCCCUAAAUCUAGUGGCGGACCCGUCGUGGCCUCCUCUGCGAAGUAGUGAUAUUCCGCAUCGGAGAGCGAUGAGCCCCUGCCGUUAAACCCCCAACUUUCCAAGGUUGACCUCAGAUCAGGUAGGAAUACCCGCUGAACUUAAGCAUAUCAAUAAGCGGAGGA
RNAcentral lists this unclassified non-coding RNA (348 nucleotides) under soil metagenome. RNAcentral's name for it is "partial contains 5.8S ribosomal RNA, internal transcribed spacer 2, and large subunit ribosomal RNA". The stretch from base 1 to 120 matches the Rfam family "5.8S ribosomal RNA", at positions 35 to 154 of the family's 154-position model. The record is from RNAcentral.